GUGAUACGAAGUGGAGGUUCGAACCGACCGAUGUUGAAAAAUCGACGGAUGAGUUGUGGUUAGGGGUGAAAUGCCAAUCGAACUUGGAGCUAGCUGGUUCUCCUCGAAAUGCGUUGAGGCGCAGCGGUUGAUUAUGGACUUCUAGGGGGUAAAGCGCUGUCUCGGUGCGGGCUGCGAAAGCGGUACUAAUCUGUUGCAAACUCGGAAUACCUAGAAUGUUUUCAAUCAGCCAGUGAGACUGCGGGGGAUAAGCUCCGUAGUCAAAAGGGAAACAGCCCAGACCACCAGCUAAGGCUCCUAAAUAAAAGCUAAGUGGCAAAGGAGGUGAAAGUGCAGUGACAAUCAGGAGGUUUGCCUAGAAGCAGCCACCCUCUAAGGAGUGCGUAAUAGCUCACUGAUCAAGCGCUUUUGCGCCGAAAAUGACCGGAACUAAGUUUUUUGCCGAAGCUGUGGCUACAUCACACAGAUGAUGUAGGGUAGAGGAGCGUUCCGCCCAGGGGGAAGCCAAGCGCGUAAGCCGCGGUGGACAGGGCGGAAGUGAGAAUGUCAGCUUGAGUAACGCAAACAUUGGUGAGAAUCCAGUGCCCCGAAAACUCAAGGGUUCCUGCGCAAGGCUCGUCCGCGCAGGGUCAGUCAGGACCUAAGGUGAGGCCGAAAGGCGUAAUUGAUGGCAAGAAGGUUUAUAUUCCUUCACUAGUCUAGGCUUAGUCCUGAGGGACGAACAAAUAACACUCGGCACAAUGGCCUUCCAUGGUAGGAAGGGUCAAACCAUUGUUGUUUGAUGGUAUUUUUUCCAAGAAAAGCUCAUUCGACUUUGAGUCUAGACUACCUGUACCGUAAACCGACACAGGUGAGUGGGUUGAAUAAACUAAGGGGAGCGAGAUAACUCUCUCUAAGGAACUCGGCAAAUUGGCUCUGUACCUUCGGAAGAAAGAGUGCCCCUCAGGGGGCCGCAGUGAAGAGAUCCAGGCGACUGUUUACCAAAAACACAGGUCUCCGCAAAGUCGUAAGACGACGUAUGGGGGCUGACACCUGCCCAGUGCCAGAAGGUUAAAGAAGUUGGUCAAUCUAUGAUGAAGCUAACGACUGAAGCCCUGGUGAACGGCGGCAGUAACUAUAACUGUCCUAAGGUAGCGAAAUUCCUUGUCGGGUAAGUUCCGACCCGCACGAAAGGUGU
RNAcentral lists this ribosomal RNA (1177 nucleotides) under seawater metagenome. Its description in RNAcentral is "bacterial LSU rRNA". It matches the Rfam family "Bacterial large subunit ribosomal RNA", at positions 756 to 2002 of the family's 2925-position model. The record is from RNAcentral.